GAUGAACGCUGGCGGCGUGCCUAAUACAUGCAAGUCGAGCGAACAGACGAGGAGCUUGCUCCUCUGACGUUAGCGGCGGACGGGUGAGUAACACGUGGAUAACCUACCUAUAAGACUGGGAUAACUUCGGGACACCGGAGCUAAUACCGUAUAAUAUAUUGCACCGCAUGGUUCAAUAGUGAAAGACGGUUUUGCUGUCACUUAUAGAUGGAUCCGCGCCGCAUUAGCUAGUUGGUAAGGUAACGGCUUACCAAGGCAACGAGGCCUAGCCGACCUGAGAGGGGGAGCGGCCACGAUGGGACGGAGAGACGGACCAGACUUCUGAGAGAGGCAGCAGUAGGGCAUCAUGCAGAAGGGGCGAAAGCCGGACGGAGGAACGACGCGUGAGGGAGGAAGGUCUUGGGAGCGAAAAACUCUGUUAUGAGGGAAGAAGAAAUGUGUAAGUAACUAGGCACGUCGAGACGGAACCGAAUCAGAAAGCCACGGCUAACUACG
This 495-nucleotide ribosomal RNA is filed under the name uncultured bacterium. RNAcentral's name for it is "partial 16S ribosomal RNA". It matches the Rfam family "Bacterial small subunit ribosomal RNA", at positions 28 to 505 of the family's 1533-position model. The record is from RNAcentral.